AGAGUUUGAUCAUGGCUCAGGAUGAACGCUAGCGGCAGGCUUAACACAUGCAAGUCGAGGGGCAUCGCGGUGUAGCAAUACACUGGCGGCGACCGGCGGAAGGGUGCGUAACGCGUGAGCAACAUGCCCGUGGCAGGGGGAUAAUCGAUGGAAACGUCGUCUAAGACCCCGUAACAACUGGGAGCGCAUGUUCCUGGUUUGAAAGCUUCGGCGGCCACGGAUUGGCUCGCGUCCCAUUAGGUAGUCGGCGGGGUAACGGCCCACCGAGCCGACGAUGGGUAGGGGUUCUGAGAGGAAGGUCCCCCACAAUGGAACUGAGACACGGUCCAUACUCCUACGGGAGGCAGCAGUGAGGAAUAUUGGUCAAUGGGCGGAAGCCUGAACCAGCCAUGCCGCGUGCAGGAAUAAGGCCCUACGGGUCGUAAACUGCUUUUGUGCGGGAGCAAUAAGGUGGUCGUGACCAUCGAUGAGAGUACCGUACGAAUAAGCAUCGGCUAACUCCGUGCCAGCAGCCGCGGUAAUACGGAGGAUGCGAGCGUUAUCCGGAUUCAUUGGGUUUAAAGGGUGCGUAGGCGGCGUGCCAAGUCAGGGGUGAAAGGUUCCGGCUCAACCGGGACAGUGCCCUUGAUACUGGUGUGCUGGAGUGCGCUUGCCGUGGGAGGAAUGAGUGGUGUAGCGGUGAAAUGCUUAGAUAUCACUCAGAACACCGAUUGCGAAGGCAUCUCACGAAGGCCUAACUGACGCUGAGGCACGAAAGCGUGGGGAUCAAACAGGAUUAGAUACCCUGGUAGUCCACGCCGUAAACGAUGAUGACUAACCGCCGGCGACAGACCGUCGGUGGCCAAGCGAAAGCGAUAAGUCAUCCACCUGGGGAGUACGACCGCAAGGUUGAAACUCAAAGGAAUUGACGGGGGCCCGCACAAGCGGAGGAACAUGUGGUUUAAUUCGAUGAUACGCGAGGAACCUUACCCGGGCUCGAACGGCUGGUGAAGAGAUCCAGAGAUGGUGACGUCCUUCGGGACACCAGUCGAGGUGCUGCAUGGUUGUCGUCAGCUCGUGCCGUGAGGUGUCGGCUCAAGUGCCAUAACGAGCGCAACCCCUGCCUCCAGUUACCAUCACGUAAUGGUGGGGACUCUGGAGGGACUGCCACCGCAAGGUGUGAGGAAGGGGAGGAUGACGUCAAAUCAGCACGGCCCUUACGUCCGGGGCGACACACGUGUUACAAUGGCGGCCACAGAGGGAAGCUACCCUGCGAGGGGAUGCGGAUCUCGAAAAGCCGUCUCAGUUCGGAUCGGAGUCUGCAACCCGACUCCGUGAAGCUGGAUUCGCUAGUAAUCGCGCAUCAGCCAUGGCGCGGUGAAUACGUUCCCGGGCCUUGUACACACCGCCCGUCAAGCCAUGGAAGCCGGGGGCGCCUGAAGUUCGUGACCGCGAGGAGCGACCUAGGGCGAAACUGGUAACUGGGGCUAAGUCGUAACAAGGUAGCCGUACCGGAAGGUGUGGCUGGAACACCUCCUU
Molecule: ribosomal RNA, 1518 nt
Filed under: uncultured bacterium
Lineage: Bacteria
Description: bacterial SSU rRNA
Rfam family: Bacterial small subunit ribosomal RNA
Source: RNAcentral